GACGAAGGGGGCUAGCGUUGUUCGGAAUUACUGGGCGUAAAGCGCGUGUAGGCGGUUGUCCAAGUCAGGUGUGAAAGCCUUGAGCUCAACUCAAGAAAUGCACUUGAUACUGGAUGACUAGAGGACCGGAGAGGAUAGUGGAAUUCCCAGUGUAGUGGUGAAAUACGUAGAGAUCGGGAGGAAGGCCGGUGGCGAAGGCGGCGCUCUGGAACGUUUCUGACACUGAGGCUCGAAAGCGUGGGGAGCAAACAGG
Molecule: ribosomal RNA, 253 nt
Filed under: uncultured bacterium
Lineage: Bacteria
Description: partial 16S ribosomal RNA
Rfam family: Bacterial small subunit ribosomal RNA
Source: RNAcentral